This 465-nucleotide ribosomal RNA is filed under the name Vreelandella stevensii. RNAcentral's name for it is "partial 16S ribosomal RNA". It matches the Rfam family "Bacterial small subunit ribosomal RNA", at positions 338 to 795 of the family's 1533-position model. Lineage: Bacteria; Pseudomonadati; Pseudomonadota; Gammaproteobacteria; Oceanospirillales; Halomonadaceae. The record is from RNAcentral.
CCUACGGGUGGCUGCAGUGGGGAAUAUUGGACAAUGGGGGCAACCCUGAUCCAGCCAUGCCGCGUGUGUGAAGAAGGCCCUCGGGUUGUAAAGCACCUUCAGUGAGGAAGAACGCCUGGUGGUUAAUACCCAUCAGGAAAGACAUCACUCACAGAAGAAGCACCGGCUAACUCCGUGCCAGCAGCCGCGGUAAUACGGAGGGUGCGAGCGUUAAUCGGAAUUACUGGGCGUAAAGCGCGCGUAGGUGGCUUGAUAAGCCGGUUGUGAAAGCCCCGGGCUCAACCUGGGAACGGCAUCCGGAACUGUCAAGCUAGAGUGCAGGAGAGGAAGGUAGAAUUCCCGGUGUAGCGGUGAAAUGCGUAGAGAUCGGGAGGAAUACCAGUGGCGAAGGCGGCCUUCUGGACUGACACUGACACUGAGGUGCGAAAGCGUGGGUAGCAAACAGGAUUAGAUACCCUUGUAGUC